Molecule: transfer RNA, 56 nt
Filed under: Peregrinus maidis (corn hopper)
Lineage: Eukaryota; Metazoa; Arthropoda; Insecta; Hemiptera; Delphacidae
Description: tRNA-Ser
Source: RNAcentral
AGUUAAUAAUAAAUAUGUCUUGAAAACAUAAAUUUAAAUUAAAUUUUAAUUAACUU